This 4775-nucleotide long non-coding RNA is filed under the name Setaria italica (foxtail millet). RNAcentral's name for it is "long non-coding RNA (SITA_LNC002438)". Lineage: Eukaryota; Viridiplantae; Streptophyta; Magnoliopsida; Poales; Poaceae. The record is from RNAcentral.
CACAAUUGUGCUUUUUGAACGAGUGACAGCCUUAAUUACGCUCCAUGAUGCAUGUGUGAUGCAACAAAUUAGGAUUUGCAUGCUGAUGCUACCUUUGGCCAUGUCCUCAACUGCCACUUAUACUUAUCUCCCUCGAUAUGCAUUCUGAUCACUUAGCACUCUGGGGGCCCUAUAUAUCUGAGAGGUGAGUAUUCAACCGCAGGGUGUGCCUGCAUGUUGGGUUAGUGGUUGCUCUACAAUAUAUUGUGCAGCACCAUGAUGAGUAAAGUCAGGCACGGCUCAUCCGUUUGGUGAGAAUUCAGAAGUUGUGGCUGCACAACAACUGCUGCAGAACACCUCAUCCGUAUUGGCCCAUCCGUGGUGGCCCAAAGUGCACCCGAAUCAAAGGGUCAUCCGUGUUGGCCUCGCAGCCAACAUGGGAACACAUGCAUAGUAUAUGUGCUGGCUUUCCAAGAAGCCCAUCAUGGAUAGUAUCCAUGAUAGGCUUCCCUUUGCACCAGCAUGGAUACUAUGUGUAAAGACAUCUGCCCUCAAUAAGCCUUGAUUUGAAUAACUAUGAUAUGGGCACUACCAUUUGACCGGUGUUGAUACCCACCUAAGGAAGUUAUUUCAUCAUGACCUGAACUUAAAUAACAAAAUAAAUCAUCUUUCCACACACACAGAAGCUGUAUGUAUAUUCAUUUACAUUUUCAUCUCCUUUUAUAUCAAAACAUGCAGAAGAAGUUGAGAAACCAUCAAAGGUCCCAAGGAGCAAUUCGAUGCGCAUGAAGGACAAACAUAGGCAAGUACUUCAUUUGAUACUAUGUUAUGUAAAAUUAAUAAAUCUUGCAUUGAAGGAUUUCUUAUCCUAAUGAUUUUGGGCCACGGUUGCACCAAACAACAACCACCCUCUGAUCUUCAACAUGAUUGUCUCUUGCCACAUGCUCGAGCAGCAUGAUGUGUGGAAGAGCAAGUAGGGCAUGGCGAUGGUUGCAUAUAUGUACAGGGAUUACUUAUGUCCUUGUAACACCACAGCUAUCUACAUCUCGUGGUUUUGCGCUCAGUCACUACAGUUUCAUGCUCCUAAGAUCAGUGGCGGAUGCAAGCAGUAGGGUUAGGAUGGCUCAUCUCUCCUCUUCCUCCUCCAUUUCCCUUGCUUCUUCUUCUUUAUCUCUAUUUUUUCCUCCCUUCCUCUCCCCUUAAUCUCUAUUGACACAUUACCGGGGCGGAGGCUGCAACCCUCCUGCACCCCUUGGAUCCGCCCCUGCCUAAGAUGAUGAUGAUGAUAAUGAUGAUGAUGAUGAUGAUGUAGCGCCUACAUUUAUUUUGUGCUAGUAUGCCUUCAUUUGCUGCUUUUGAUAUGCUUUGUGUCACUCCUAAGGUUGGUGGAAUGGGAGGGUAAUUUUUCUCCAUAUCAACAAAUUGAGAGGCCUAUGGUCGUCCCAAGGAGUUGUAUUGAUGAUGAUCAUGAUGAUGAUCGAGUAUGUGUAAUUAAGUUGUUUCUGAUUGAUAUAUUGGUUGUUUGUUGUGAUUUAUAUUGUAAUAUUUAAGCUGUAUUGAUGUUUGCUUAGAUUUUUUAUUUUUAUUUUUUUAUCUUCAUUAAGUAUUUGUAUCGGCUUAGAAAAGGGCAGGCACGAAUAGGUAAUUAUUCAUAUACCAACAUUAUCUACGGAGCAGCAAGAGUAAGUAGGGAUAAGUAGUUAUAUGUGCUAGCAUACUAUAUGUGCCCACAUGAGUAAAUAGCUAUAUAUUCCUACCAAAGGUAGUACAUGCACCAACACAUCUAUAUAUAAGCCCACUCACAAUAUAGCCCUUCUCCCCAAUCCUCACUCUCUUCCACCACUAACCCAAGCCCACCUUUUACCACCACAACCACCUCCUCCUCUCCCUCUCCUAGCCCUAGACCACUCAUUGAUGCUAGCAUCUCUCCCUCCUCAUUGCCUCUAGAUCUUCUUCCUCUAUCUCUAGAUCCAAUUACCACCACAUCAUCUUUCUUGUCCUUCACUACCAGAUCCACAAUAUCCUCCUCUUCUCAUCUCUUUGACCCGCUUCCUUCACUGUUGGAUCUACCACCUCACCUCCUCAUGAUGAACCACCUCUACAAGAGGGAAGCGAUAGUACAUCACUACAACACAACUUCACAUCUACAAACACUAUUGUUAUCUUCUAGAGACAUUUUUUGUUAUCUCUACACAGUCAUAUAGUCAUUUUCUAAAAUGUCACAAAGGUGCCACUAUAGGCAAUGUCUCUUGGAAUGAAGAGACACUUUUCUAAGUGUCCUUAUAUUCCUUAAGGAAACUUAUAAUGAUACUACGUCAUGUUUCUAUCCUCUAAGUGCAUUAGAAAUAUAUUGAAAAAAUAUGGUAUGUUUUGAGUGAUGGGUCUUCAAACUCAAUACCUCAUGCUAUUUUUCAUAUAUAAUACUCAACCUACUAGCCAACUCAACCUCAAACCAAUUGUUGCAUAUUAUUUAAUAUAAUUUUUAUGGGUAGUUCAUUAUAGUGCCUCAAUAGUCUAAAUAGUGUCUCAAGGUAUUAAAGUAAAUGACUCAAACUAUUUCUUUAUGGGGGCUAAGGUCGAAAUUUAAAGUGUAUCAAAGACAUCCCUAACUAUUUAUAUUGACAUUUUACAAAAUGACUUAAGAAAAUAUCUCUACAGUUCAAAAUGCCUAAAGUAGUGUCUCAAUACGUGUGACACUUUCUCAAGUGCCACAAAAAGUGUCUUUAUAAUACAUUAUGACUUAUUUAUAAGGAUGAACCAUAAAAUGCCUAUACAAAAGUGUCUCUAUACGAGGUUUUUGUUGUAGUGGUAGAGGAAGUAACGAAUGUUGCCGUUGUUACAUUGUCAUAUGUGGUGACAGAGGUUACCAUGGUAUAAGUAAAUCCUAGUCAGUCAUCAUUAUUUAGGUUGUGGCACGCGUGAUCCUAGGACAUGCGGUAGAGGGAAGCCUUGGAGGCUAUGGUGGUUGGCUGGUUGCAGCUACCACUAGCAUGUAGGCUAAGUACAAAAUGUGAUAGCACUAUGGGGGCAUCACCGGGCUCCCUCCCCUCCACUUCCGUUACUACAAUUGGGACCCUUGUUAUUGAGGUGUUGAUGGAGUCAGUGUCAAUGGUGCCUGCACCAUCAUAAUUACAACCAAGUAAUAGAUAUGGAUCACCAUUUGGCAAGAAGUAGAUUUAUAAACUAAUUUCUCUGGUGCUCCUGUGAGAGAGUACUUAAUUAUGAUUGUUUUGUGAUGAUAAUAAACCAGUAUUUUUAGUUAAUUUGUAAUGAAUUAUGAUUCGGAUAAACUUAUAGUUGAUUCAUGAUGAUGAUGAUCUACUACUAUAUAUAAUAUUGAACUAAUGCAUUCCAUGUGGCGAUGAUAAAUUUUUAGUUUUUUUGUGAUGAUGAUGUAAAAUAUAGUUUGUUUGUGGUGAUGAUGAACUAGUUUAUGUGGAUGCAUGAUGAACUUGUUAUAUUUGCAAGUUUGAUCUUGUUAUGUUAUGCCACAACACAAAAUGAUGAAGUCAUUACAUCAAGUUGUUAUGAACGCCUACCAUAUACUCUAGUAUAUUCAUAUUGAAUCUAUAUAUAUGUGUUGUGUGUGCAAUUCAUUCAUUACAGAUAUGGUGGUCUUGGCUUCAUCUUCUAUUAUAGUACUAUUUUUGCAAAUUAUGAGUAUAUAGAUUAGUGGCACAAAGGACAAUAAGCAAUGUGCCAAGUGUUGUAUAUAGUCUUCCUUAGAUGCCUAUGCAUAUUAGAGAUAUUAAAUGUAUCUAAUAAGGUAGCUUGAUUUUUAGAUACCUUUAAGGACCUUAGGCCCAAAUCCUUUGAAUUUGAAUUGUUUUCUAUUGGUUUGUUUGUUUUCAAGCAUUAAAUUUGAUAUCAAUGAUGAGUAGUACCAAGUUACAUACUAUUGGUAAGCAAGUUUAUUGCCUUGACAAAUAGCAAAUUUAUGACAAAUUAAGUGGUAACCGGUAAAUCAAGGCACAAAUGAUUUAAAUCCCAUGUGUUAGAUAUUGCAAUAAUUGUUAUUUCAAUCUCCUAAUAAAUGUUGGUUUGUCUCUAAAUAAUGUGAAUAUGAAUUGUAGUUUGUAUAUGAUUCAUAUUGUCAAUUUGCAUUUUUCAGGGUCUCCCAACCCUAUUUGUGGCAGCAUAUUAGCGCUAGCAGGGAUACACUAACAUCCAUACAUGCAUCUAUUUAAUACUGGUAGGGAUACCCUAAUAUUUUCCCAGCCUGUUUGGCACCGGUAUGAAUAUUUUAGUAUCCAUGCUAAAAAGGAUAAUUAUCUAUGCUCGCUUUGGCAAUGCGGCACUGGUACUCGGACUCAUCCAUAUGGCCUACAUAAUGCCGGUUCAAUAACUAGCAUGGAUGAUGUUAGGACUGAACACAAAUGAGGUGUCGUGUAAGCUUUAGUUGGCGAUAAGGCACGAGGCCUGUGGGCUGGCCCACAGCUCAAAAUUUUGGCCCGGUACCAGCCUGGCCCAGCACGAUCUUAGCCAUGCCCGUGCUGGCCCAGCCCAUCCUUACUGCUAGGCCUGGGCUGCUGCGUCAGCCCGUGGGCUAGCCUGGCCCAGCACGAUUAACGGCUGGCCCACAAGGGCAUGAUGGAGGCACGUUUAGCUGUACUUCUUAUAUGUGCUUGUAUGUGCAAUGCCUUUGAAUAUAUAUGUAUAUGUGUUUGUAUGUAAUAUAUCUCUAAAUUUUUGCCUUUGAAAAUCUAAUUUGAUGAAUAGAUUUUUUAUAGCUAAGCGGGACUAGCAUGGGCACGAUGUGCCUUCAGGGUCUGACGGGCCACCGGGCUGGCCCGGCA